This is a non-coding RNA of Pelobates cultripes (western spadefoot toad), 833 nucleotides long. Lineage: Eukaryota; Metazoa; Chordata; Amphibia; Anura; Pelobatidae. The record is from the annotation of a GenBank genome assembly.
GCAGGGUACAUUUUUGCGGGUCAGGUCAGUGAGAGGCUCAGCUAGGGUGCUAUAAUUGGGAACAAAUUUCCUGUAGUAACGCCACCAAAAGCCCAUUAUUUGGGUCUUAGUGCGUGGGAGAGGUCAAUUGGUUACUACCUCAGUCUUGGCUGGUUCGGGCUUCUGUUUCCCAUACUAGAGGUACUGCACCUCUGCCAUGCCUAUGUGGCAUUUGCUGGGCUUCAAUGUUAACCCUGCCUCUCUAAUCUUGUCUAGUUUGGCUCGUACAUGUAUCAGAUGCUCCUCCCAAGUGUCGCUGAAUACAUCAAUGUCAUCCAGAUAUGCGCAAGCAUAAUCCUGGAGGCCAUCUAAAAGCCUAUCCACCAUCCUUUGGAAGGUGGCUGGGGCAUUAUUUAUUCUGAAUGGCAGUACUUCGAAUUGAAGUGGAUAGUGACAAAUGCCGACUUAGGAAUAUCUGCCGCUAAAUCGAUUUACCAGUAGACCUUACAUAAGUCAAUAGUAGUAAGGUACUGACCCCGAGCCAUUCUAUCCAAGAGCUUGUCUAUGGGGUACGCAUCUGAGACGGUUUUGUCGUUGAGCCUCUUGGAUUUUGUACGGGGUUUGGCGUAGAGGUUGUUGGUUGUGAGUUUCUACUCUAUAGCGGGUGAGGGGGGUGAAUCCAGGUAAGAUAGAGAACGUGUCUCUUUUUGCCGACAGCAUCUGUUGUGUUUGCCUGCGUUCUUCACUGGUCCUCAUUUAUGGACCCUGCCUGAACUCCUUUCUCUAGGAGAUCAGGUAGGGGAAGAUUAUAAAAAUCUUCCGAGGCCGGAGCACAAAUAGCGGCUACAUCCUCC